RNAcentral lists this ribosomal RNA (251 nucleotides) under uncultured soil bacterium. RNAcentral describes it as "partial 16S ribosomal RNA". It matches the Rfam family "Bacterial small subunit ribosomal RNA", at positions 1176 to 1426 of the family's 1533-position model. The record is from RNAcentral.
GGGAUGACGUCAAGUCCUCAUGGCCUUUAUGUCCAGGGCUACACACGUACUACAAUGGAUGGCACAAUGAGUCGCAAACUCGCGAGAGGGAGCCAAUCUCAAAAAACCAUUCUCAGUUCGGAUUGCAGUCUGCAACUCGACUGCAUGAAGCUGGAAUCGCUAGUAAUCGCUGAUCAGCAAGCAGCGGUGAAUACGUUCCCGGGCCUUGUACACACCGCCCGUCACAUCACGAAAGCCCGUUGUACUAGAAG